This 500-nucleotide ribosomal RNA is filed under the name uncultured Glomeromycotina. Its description in RNAcentral is "partial small subunit ribosomal RNA". It matches the Rfam family "Eukaryotic small subunit ribosomal RNA", at positions 591 to 1092 of the family's 1831-position model. Lineage: Eukaryota; Fungi; Glomeromycota. The record is from RNAcentral.
CCAAUAGCGUAUAUUAAAGUUGUUGCAGUUAAAAAGCUCGUAGUUGAAUUUCGGGGUUAGUAGGUUGGUCAUGCCUCUGGUAUGUACUGGUCUCACUGAUUCCUCCUUCCUGAUGAGCCGUAAUGCCAUUAAUUUGGUGUUGCGGGGAAUUUGGACUGUUACUUUGAAAAAAUUAGCGUGUUUAAAGCAAGCUAACGCUUGAAUACAUUAGCAUGGAAUAAUGAAAUAGGACGUUCGAUCCUAUUUUGUUGGUUUCUAGGAUUGACGUAAUGAUUAAUAGGGAUAGUUGGGGGCAUUAGUAUUCAAUUGUCAGAGGUGAAAUUCUUGGAUUUAUUGAAGACUAACUACUGCGAAAGCAUUUGCCAAGGAUGUUUUCAUUAAUCAAGAACGAAAGUUAGGGGAUCGAAGACGAUCAGAUACCGUCGUAGUCUUAACCAUAAACUAUGCCGACUAGGGAUCGGAUGAUGUUAAUUUUUUAAUGACUCAUUCGGCGCCUUACG